UACGUAGGGACCAAGCGUUGUUCGGAUUUACUGGGCGUAAAGGGCGUGUAGGCGGCAAUUCAAGUCAUCUGUGAAAUCUCCGGGCUUAACUCGGAACGGUCAGAUGAUACUGCUUUGCUAGAGUGCGGAAGGGGCAAUCGGAAUUCUCGGUGUAGCGGUGAAAUGCGUAGAUAUCGAGAGGAACACCUGCGGCGAAGGCGGGUAGCUGGGCCGACACUGACGCUGAGGCGCGAAAGCCAGGGGAGCGAACGGG
Molecule: ribosomal RNA, 253 nt
Filed under: uncultured bacterium
Lineage: Bacteria
Description: partial 16S ribosomal RNA
Rfam family: Bacterial small subunit ribosomal RNA
Source: RNAcentral